This 613-nucleotide long non-coding RNA is filed under the name Sinocyclocheilus anshuiensis. RNAcentral's name for it is "lncRNA (ENSSANG00000033923.1)". Lineage: Eukaryota; Metazoa; Chordata; Actinopteri; Cypriniformes; Cyprinidae. The record is from RNAcentral.
CACGUUUAAGUAAUUGCGCUCAGGCACUUUCUCAGUCGCCUACACUGGGUCCUUCAUUCCUCCUGAAGGACUUUUCUGGUUGCCUGUCCACGUGGAGAUGAGUGUCAUCAUGCGCUCUUAAAGCGGUAAAGAUGGCUUCAUUGUGUAGCAUGUGGGUGAGCAGGCCUGCAGGGUCAGGGUUACAUGACACCUGGGUCUAUAUUCACCAAGGAGUGAUCCUUUCUAAUGGAGGUAAAUUACCCAGCAUUCAAGGACUAGUGGCGUGUGAGAUGCUGUUUUCUGCGAGAUUUGUGAAUCUGCACUACAUUCUUUUAUAAAUAAAACCUUCUGCUUAACAGUCUUGUCUUUUGUAUGUGGAUGUUUUUUGGUCUCUUGAAAAUCAGUUUAAAUGUUUUGUGGUACACGGCAUAAAAAGUAAAUAGUCCAAACUUUUCUCAGUUUCCACAUUAGAAAUAGUUGUUCCACUUUUCACUUGCGGUGUCUUUAGCAUUGUUUGUAGCAUUACAAAUUAUUUUUCUCAUGUGCAUAUCUCAGAUAGCUAUGACCCUUUUGAUAUAUGGCCACCUGACAAAUAUUUCACAGUCUCUUGGAUUAUAGGAUUUCACAUCACGGG